AACUCUACGGGACGCAGCAGUGGGGAAUAUUGCACGAUGGGGGAAACCCUGAUGCAGCGACGCCGCGUGAGUGAAGAAGUAUUUCGGUAUGUAAAGCUCUAUCAGCAGGAACGAGACAAGACGGUACCUGACUAAGAAGCCCCGGCUAACUACGUGCCAGCAGCCGCGGUAAUACGUAGGGGGCAAGCGUUAUCCGGAAUCACUGGGUGUAAAGGGAGCGUAGACGGCUGAGCAAGCCUGAUGUGAAAGGUCGGGGCCCAACCCCGGGACUGCAUUGGAAACUGUUGAACUGGAGUACAGGAGAG
RNAcentral lists this ribosomal RNA (305 nucleotides) under uncultured bacterium. RNAcentral describes it as "bacterial SSU rRNA". It matches the Rfam family "Bacterial small subunit ribosomal RNA", at positions 335 to 656 of the family's 1533-position model. The record is from RNAcentral.